Molecule: long non-coding RNA, 1058 nt
Organism: Aethalodelphis obliquidens (Pacific white-sided dolphin)
Lineage: Eukaryota; Metazoa; Chordata; Mammalia; Artiodactyla; Delphinidae
Exons: 2
Source: RefSeq, a predicted model, not a curated record
CUCCCCACACACACCCUCGCAGGAAAGUUCCCCAGCCCGGGCCGGGCUCCCAGGCAGCUUGGCACCGUGCCAGGCUCGCCGCCGAGCGCGGGCAGCCGGGUGGGGCGAGCGGCGGCGGCGCCGAGGACGUGGCCGGGCACCCCGGGCGCCAGCAGGACCCGAGGCCCGGAGGCCGGGGCCCAGAAGAUCCAGGUGUGAGUUGAGAAGUUUUUUCCCAAGCACAAGAAGUUUCCCAGUGAGCCUCGGGGUCCUCCUCGAAGUUUCCGGCGUUCUGUGUGUGAGAGCCUGCCAAUAUCAGAGAAGCUGUGAGUGAGGGAAGAAGGAGCUGGUGGCGCCCGCAUCCCCUGUCUUCUCUCAGACACUGAGACUGGGAAGGACUUUGGAAGCAGGAGCUUGUAGCCUGUUUAGAAUAUAGAGCUGAAAAACUGGUCAAUGGCUAAGAUAUUAGCAAAAGCACAAAUCCUUGAUGAGAGUUAAAAAUUCUUGUUUCUGAGCAUCGUUGAAAGCCAAGCACAGGAGUGAAAAUGCCUGUCCACGUCUCUCAUUAUUUUCGAAUACAUCUAAAAAAUGUGCGUUCAUCAUGUAAAAAUUAUAUAGACUCUUACUUUCAAGAUUAAUGUCGCCUAUUGUCUGAUUGUUUACAUGACCACUUUCUUUUGGUUAAAAAAAAAAUGAACUUCAAGUUCCUUUAAAAUUAGGAAUUACAUCAAAAGUUGCUCUAUAAAUAGCAAGAAACAAAACAGAACACAAGCAUUGGCUUUCUUUAUUAGCAUUUUUUUUUUGCAGCCAUUAAAAAUUAUCUUGUCUUGCAGUGAUAAAUUUAGGUGAGACAUUUUUUCACUUUCUGUAGAAAGGGCAUAUAUGAAAAAUCCAACUUUAACCUUGUCUUUCUGUUAACUGGCUCUAAAAGGUAUGAUAUUUACACGCAGUCGGGAAAAUGAAAGUGUCAUUAUGCAUAAAGCAAAGUACUUACUUGUGUUGUGUGAAAUCAUGUUAGAUUUUAAAAAAAUAAAAUGGGAGUAUCUCAAUAAAUAAGACCACUGUGGUCAAAUUUCAAA